UAGGGAAUCUUCGGCAAUGGACGAAAGUCUGACCGAGCAACGCCGCGUGAGUGAAGAAGGUUUUCGGAUCAUAAAACUCUGUUGGUAGAGAAGAACGUUGGUGAGAGUGGAAAGCUCAUCAAGUGACGGUAACUACCCAGAAAGGGACGGCUAACUACGUGCCAA
RNAcentral lists this ribosomal RNA (165 nucleotides) under uncultured bacterium. Its description in RNAcentral is "partial 16S ribosomal RNA". It matches the Rfam family "Bacterial small subunit ribosomal RNA", at positions 355 to 511 of the family's 1533-position model. The record is from RNAcentral.